This 289-nucleotide ribosomal RNA is filed under the name uncultured Oxalobacteraceae bacterium. Its description in RNAcentral is "partial 16S ribosomal RNA". Lineage: Bacteria; Pseudomonadati; Pseudomonadota; Betaproteobacteria; Burkholderiales; Oxalobacteraceae. The record is from RNAcentral.
CUACCGGGGUAUCUAAUUCUGUUUGCUCCCCACGCUUUCGUGUAUGAGCGUCAAUCUUGACCCAGGGGGCUGCCUUCGCCAUCGGUGUUCCUCCACAUGUCUACGCAUUUCACUGCUACACGUGGAAUUCUACCCCCCUCUGCCAGAUUCUAGCCUUGCAGUUUCCAAUGCAAUUCCCAGGUUGAGCCCGGGGAUUUCACAUCAGACUUACAAAACCGCCUGCGCACGCUUUACGCCCAGUAAUUCCGAUUAACGCUUGCACCCUACGUAUUACCGCGGCUGCUGGCAC